RNAcentral lists this ribosomal RNA (397 nucleotides) under uncultured bacterium. RNAcentral's name for it is "bacterial SSU rRNA". It matches the Rfam family "Bacterial small subunit ribosomal RNA", at positions 28 to 428 of the family's 1533-position model. The record is from RNAcentral.
GACGAACGCUGGCGGCGUGCUUAACACAUGCAAGUCGAGCGGUAAGGCCCUUUCGGGGGUACGACGAGCGGCGAACGGGUGAGUAACACGUGGGUGACCUGCCCUCAGCUCUGGGAUAAGCCUGGGAAACCGGGUCUAAUACUGGAUAUGACUCCAUGACGCAUGUUGUGGGGUGGAAAGCCUUGUGCGGCUGAGGAUGGGCCCGCGGCCUAUCAGCUUGUUGGUGGGGUGAUGGCCUACCAAGGCGACGACGGGUAGCCGGCCUGAGAGGGCGACCGGCCACACUGGGACUGAGACACGGCCCAGACUCCUACGGGAGGCAGCAGUGGGGAAUCUUGCGCAAUGGGCGAAAGCCUGACGCAGCGACGCCGCGUGAGGGAUGACGGCCUCGGUGUAA